Molecule: ribosomal RNA, 253 nt
Filed under: uncultured bacterium
Lineage: Bacteria
Description: partial 16S ribosomal RNA
Rfam family: Bacterial small subunit ribosomal RNA
Source: RNAcentral
GACGAACCGUGCGAACGUUGUUCGGAAUCACUGGGCAUAAAGGGCGCGUAGGCAGCUUAUCAAGUCAGGGGUGAAAUCCGGCAGCUCAACUGUCGAAGUGCCUUUGAUACUGAUGAGCUCGAGGGAGGUAGGGGUCUGUGGAACUUCCGGUGGAGCGGUGAAAUGCGUUGAUAUCGGAAGGAACGCCGGUGGCGAAAGCGACGGACUGGACCUCUUCUGACGCUGAGGCGCGAAAGCCAGGGGAGCAAACGGG